RNAcentral lists this ribosomal RNA (153 nucleotides) under Escherichia coli. RNAcentral's name for it is "partial 16S ribosomal RNA". The record is from RNAcentral. Lineage: Bacteria; Pseudomonadati; Pseudomonadota; Gammaproteobacteria; Enterobacterales; Enterobacteriaceae.
AAAUUGAAGAGUUUGAUCAUGGCUCAGAUUGAACGCUGGCGGCAGGCCUAACACAUGCAAGUCGAACGGUAACAGGAARCAGCUUGCUGYUUCGCUGACGAGUGGCGGACGGGUGAGUAAUGUCUGGGAAACUGCCUGAUGGAGGGGGAUAAC